This 484-nucleotide ribosomal RNA is filed under the name uncultured bacterium. Its description in RNAcentral is "partial 16S ribosomal RNA". It matches the Rfam family "Bacterial small subunit ribosomal RNA", at positions 30 to 507 of the family's 1533-position model. The record is from RNAcentral.
AUUGAACGCUGGCGGCAGGCCUAACACAUGCAAGUCGAGCGGAUGAAGGGAGCUUGCUCCUGGAUUCAGCGGCGGACGGGUGAGUAAUGCCUAGGAAUCUGCCUGGUCGUGGGGGAUAACGUCCGGAAACGGGCGCUAAUACCGCAUCCGUCCUGCGGGAGAAAGUGGGGGAUCUUCGGACCUCACGCUAUCAGAUUAGCCUAGGUCGGAUUAGCUAGUUGGUGGGGUAAAGGCCUACCAAGGCGUCGAUCCGUAGCUGGUCUGAGAGGAUGAUCAGUCACACUGGAACUGAGAAACGGUCCAGACUCCUACGGGAGGCAGCAGUGGGGAAUAUUGGACAAUGGGCGAAAGCCUGAUCCAGCCAUGCCGCGUGUGUGAAGAAGGUCUUCGGAUUGUAAAGCACUUUAAGUUGGGAGGAAGGGCAGUAAGUUAAUACCUUGCUGUUUUGACGUUACCAACAGAAUAAGCACCGGCUAACUUCGUG